RNAcentral lists this long non-coding RNA (12718 nucleotides) under Fragaria vesca (wild strawberry). RNAcentral describes it as "long non-coding RNA (FVES_LNC001089)". The record is from RNAcentral. Lineage: Eukaryota; Viridiplantae; Streptophyta; Magnoliopsida; Rosales; Rosaceae.
AGUGAAGACUUGGCAAGUCCAUGCCCUGGAGUCUGGAAUACGUUUUUGAUCCACCUUUGAAACUACGUGACAGGUAUAUUUUUGAUUCACCUUUGAGUCAGUAUUCCCAAUUCAGACUGUAUUAUAUCGUUAUUAGUUGCACAUUACGCAUAAUUCUGGUACAAUUUAGUCUUGGCUGCAUUCAUCCCAUAAUGUACAGACUUAUUGGUCGAUCCAGCUAUCAUUGUGCCCUGAUCGCAACAUUCUCUAAUACAUAGGAGGGUAGAUAGAAGAAGUGCAUCAAUGUCCCAUGGAGCUUUAACAAAGAAGCCUUGCAAUUUAUCUUGUAUUAGUGAUCUAUGGCCAGUCUUGUUCAUCACUACUUGAUUAAGAAAUUCAAGUUGAUGAAAAGAACUACUUUUAAGUCUACUUGUUUUGUUUUCAUAGUUGGAUGUAUAUCUAAGUUCAUUUGGUCCACUGAUGCUCUGCCAAUGUCCUCGUUGUAGACAAGUCUUUUGAAGGCAUGAGAAGAUGGGGGAAGAGAGGAGAUUGCAGUACAGGCAUUUGAAAAGCUCAGAAGACUACAUACAUGCGGCUAUGCCUAGAUCCAAUGAUCCAUCAACCAGUCGCAACACUAGGAACAGCCAGAGCCCCAAGGCUCAAACUGGGCUAGUAAAUUAUACCAAAAACGAAAGGGUCUGAACUGUAGAGAUGAGCAUACAGCAACAGAACAUAGACACGCCCAAACCAGAUAUCAAAGGUACAAGUAACAAUAUUACACAUUUCAGUAACAACAGAAGGGUAUUGAUUAGAAUACACAAAAGGAAAUAGAAUUCAUCCACUUAUAAGCAUAGUAAACAUCCAAGAUCUCAUGGUUGGAGCCAGAAGCAAAAGGCCCUUAUUGGGAUUGAAAUUAAACUUAAUUGGAUUCAAGAAACAACACGACCAACAACAGGGUACUUAGCUACGAACUUGUUCUCCCAGUCGGUGAGGACGCCGAUCUCCUUGUCGGAGAGGCCCUGGAGGUCGGCGGUGAUGUCUUCUUCGUUCUUGGUCGAUCCAGCUAUCAUCGUGCCCUGAUCGGAGGCUAGAUAGAAGGGCUUCAAAUCUUCUGUGCCCAAAACUCUGUCCCUCUCCCUGCUUUCCUAUAAAAAUUUAACAUUUGGCAAUUAAUCUUGACACCUGGCCAUUUCAUCAUCCAGCACUUUGACACCGUUAGUUAGCCUUCCGUUUGUUUUUCAGACUUCAUUGUUUUACGCCUUGCCUCUAACAAGUUUCCAUAACCAAAUAAAGAGAAAUUUUAAAUACACACCCUUAAUAUCUUAGGGGGGGUAUAUUGUAUAUGGAAUUAGUGGAAGUUUUAAAGAAGUCUAUGGAAUUUGAAAGUCUAGGUGUAUUCAAUACAGAUUUUUAAAAGUCCAUCAAAGUCUGGGUGUAUUCAACUAGAUUUUAAAAAAUCAUUAUGAAUUCCACCAAAAUUCAGGGGUAUUCAAUUAAGACUUUUUAAAAUGAAUAGAAGUUUAGAUGUAUUCAAAAUAUCAUUCAUACUUAUGGAAUUAAUAACUCAUGGAUAAUUGUGGACUUUGUAGUGUAAAUUACACACACCAAACUCCAAUAUUUUUCCAUCCACUAGAGCAAAUAUUUGGAAAAGUCUAUGACAGACUUUCUCUUUACAUGUGAAUAUGUUGAUCCUACAAUACAUCAUCUUUUUUUUUUAUUUUUNNNNNNNNNNNNNNNNNNNNNNNNNNNNNNNNNNNNNNNNNNNNNNNNNNNNNNNNNNNNNNNNNNNNNNNNNNNNNNNNNNNNNNNNNNNNNNNNNNNNNNNNNNNNNNNNNNNNNNNNNNNNNNNNNNNNNNNNNNUUUUAUUUUUAUUUUUUAUAUGUAUCAGCUUUAGUUUGAUCUUACAUAUCAUAUUGUCAAGUGCUGCAUUUUUAUCAUGACAUGUUUUAUCGAAUAACUAGCUAUCUAUGUUCAAUAGCUACUGUACUUCUACAGUUCUACUAGCUUGUGAAUUUUGAAAACUUGUAUUGGUGAUUUGGAGUUGGGAUAUAACAAUAAUCAUUUGAUUAUAAAUUGAAUGAUGAUAACAAAAAAUUUAUAGCAAAAAUUAGACGAAAUAAUAUGUAAAAAGAGGUACCAAAUGGUAAAUAUACAUUAAUUAUAUUAAAUGAUAGAAUAUUUCAUAAAUUAAGGGCAUUUUAGGCAGUUUGGGAUGUGUAUUAAGUAUAAUACUGAAAUGAAAAACUUGAUAGGUGGUGUAUUAAGUAAGGGGUGUGUAUUAAGAUAUCAGGGGUGUGUAUUUAAAAUUUCUCCCAAAUAAAAUACACUUACAAUUUCAAUUUGAUUUAAACAUAAUCAAAGCAAGGGGUUCAAGUUCUCAACUCUUUGGCCAGGUUUGAAAAUCCCUUGCUUGAAGAUACUCUAGAAACAUUCAACUAAUUCUUUUUGUAAUUGGGUUUUAAUUCAUUCGCAGUAAAGCUUGAAGAUACCUGAGACACAUUCAAUCUUGUAAUUGGGUUUUGAUUCAUUUGAUCAUAAACUAAAAUAUGGGUUCGUCCAUUUUUCUUAUUUGGUAUUCAUUAUAAUUGGAAUUUUGAGGAAUCUAUUCUAGCUAGCUUAUCUGUAUUUUACGUACCUAACGAAUUUGGAAUCUACGACUGGUGCUGAUAGCUUUUUGUUUAAGAAGGUUUGGGUCAAUGUUUGAAUGGCAAAGUUUCUAGGUUUUGCAUGCUAAAAGGUUUUGACUUGAAUCUGGUUAUACUGGGUUCUACUGUUCUUCAUUUGAUCUUCUGGAAUUGAAUAGAAAAUUUCAUCCCAUGCUAACAAAUCAUGAUUUCGGUCUCCACAAAAUGAAGCUAUAUUACCAAGUUGUGGGUUAAUUUCACGAUUUCUCUUGUUAGUGAUGAUGGAACGAAAAACCAAAAUCAAAUGGAAAGGAUGAGCACCGGGUCUUUGAAUAUAAAUAAAGAAUGACAAAACGAGGACUUGUUUUUGUUUCCAGAAACGGUAGGAGCAUACGUUAAUACGACGUUAAUUGUUGUGUUGGGCCAGGUGUACAUGUCAAAAUUUUAUAGGAGUGCAGGGAAGGAGACAGAGUUUUAGUGAUAGAAGAUUUGGAGCCCCUUUUUAUAGAGUUGAUUUAGUUACCUUACAUGAAUUUUAUUAAAUAUAUUUCUUAAUAGAGUCUGACAUUAUAAUAAUUUAUCAAAUUUUAAAUGUCACAAGAUAUUGAUAAAAAAAUCAAAUAUUUUGUAAAUAUAUUAUUUAACAAAAUAAUAAGUAAAAAUACAAAUUAACACAUGCAUUAGCGUGUAUUAAGAUAAUAGAGGUGUCAAUCGCCGCAUCUUAUAAACUCUUUUGUUUUUUAAAUUUAUUUUUAAACCUUUGAUUUUUGCUUAGCAGGAUAAUUAAACCAUCUUGGUCAAGUCUCAAUUUAAGGAUGUGUGGUGUGGGCAGAGAGAGAUGAGGACCACCGACACUCUCACACGCUCUGCUUGCCAAAAUCGAACCGUUUCCUGCUGAAUGUGACCGGGUUUCCGUUACACAUUCAAUUUGGCAUCGACAUUAAUCUCCAACUUGAUUUCACUAUCUCCCUCCGGCCUAGUUAUCAGAAGUCCAAUCAGAAGCUCGAGCCUCGAGGUCGAUCUUCAUCCCCGCCUAAAAGCUCAAUUAAGCAAAUAUUAGAUUCAGAUAUGUGGGACCACCACCACCUCACUACUAUUAAGAGUCAUGAAGUGACGUGAAUUGGUUAAUCUCUCACUAACAUGGGUGGCCGCUCCAAUGGGAAUUAAGCUCCAUCAAAGAUGUGAGAGGGAGAGUUUUUUUUAUUUUUUUAUUUUUUAUUUUUUAGGUGAGGAGAGAGAGCUUGAUGAAGUGGGAAAAUAUAAAAUAAUAGAGAAACUAAAAAAUUGCCACAUCGAUGCCAUUAUCGUCUGUUUCAAGUAAAAAAGAAAAGAAAUAUGGCCCCAUCCCACUCCCACCUACUCUCAACAACACAUAACAUGUAUUAGGCACUAUGUUUCCUACUAACCAAAUGGUACAUUUGAAAUUUUCUAAAAUAUCAACCUAUAAAUGUUGCUUCCCCAACCAUGCUAGAACAAGUGGCCUCUCACCACCAACCCAAACACCCCCCACACACACACACACACAACAAACUUAAUUCACCAACUCUCCUAAUUUUUCACCAUCAAACAAAAUUGAAAUAUCCUAAUUCAUUUUUCUCUCCGAUUAGUGUAAACUUUUCCAUAAUAUAUUUCUUUUUACUCUUCUGUUCUGAUCAAGAGAAAACAACACAUGUACUAUGUUAGGCAUUUUGAGGCACGUGGUGAUGUGCAUAAUAUUCUGUGCACUUUGGCCUAUGAUUCUGUGCAGUUUUUGUCAUGCAAAGUUUUUCACUACCACAUCGCUGUCUUUCGAGUUGAUGGUGUACCUUUUUUUUUUUUUUUGUAGGUCAAGAGUAGGUAGUGUUUGAUAUCCAACCUGCUUCGUAAUGGUGGCCACUACUGCUAAAACGGCAGGACUAUCAUGUUAAAAUACAUACACACCAUUAUUACUUUUCCUUAAUAUUGGGUGGACGAAUUUCAAGAGCACAAUUUUAAUUUAACAAGGAGCAGAAUAAUAAACAUACAAACCAACAAAAAAUGUAGAAAAAAACCGUUCAAUUUAACUUUUCAUAGCAAAUUCUACGAUUUACAAUUUAUCAUAAUCUCGUAAACUUGAUUCGGUGGUAUUUGUUUUCUCCCACCUUUAGAAGGGGUUUAACUUUAUGUAAAAGUUAAAGAUGUGAUCAAAGAUGAAAAUUCUUAGAGUUUAAUUUUGUUAACAGUAUUAGUGUAUAUAUAUAUAUAUGUAGUACGACGUAAAUGACUGAAUUAAAAUACUGCUUAUUAGUUGUUAUAAAAAAAUUUCGGGUAAAAACAGGUAGAAAUCGUAGAAUCCCAUCUCCGGUCUCCACUCCUCAGUCCUCACCCACUCCCAGAUACUGUGCUGUAUGAAUAGGUGUGGGACCCCGGGGUAUUCACCUACCGCAAACUCCAAUAUGAUCCACACCACCCAAAACAAGCCCAGAUUCAGGAGCACGUAAUUUUGGCUAUAAAUAAGGCGAAAGGGUGAGGCAUUCGAACUCGCUCCAUUCUCUUCUCUCAUCUUCGAUAACAGAGAAGUAGAAGAGAACCCCGUCACACAGAACCAGUCAAGUCCUCUACCUCCGAAAAGGUACGACCUCCCUUUCGUUCUCUUCCUUAUUAUGCUGCUGCUCUCCCUCUCUCGCUCUGGCCCAAUUUCCCAAUGCCUACGUGAUCUACUCCUUUCCUUCAUCUUUCACUCUUUGUUUUCCAUUUCUCUUAAGAUUUUCAUCCUUUUUCACUGAGAUCUGUACCAGACUGAUUUUUUGUGUGCACGAUGAAUAUUUUUUGGAGGUUUGGAAUCUAGUGUGGAGGUUUGGAAUCUAGUGUGUGUGGCCUGGAAGACAUAAAACCAAACCUCGUGAAUCAAAAAUAACAAACAUAAACGUGUUUUAAGCCCGCUCACUUCAAAUUCAUCAAUCACAUAUUCAUUUUUUGUCAACAUAUUCUAUUUCAACGUAGAGAACCAUCAAAUCAUCAAGAAAUUCAUCUUUUCUUAACCUUCUUUUCAUUCAAAUUAAACAGCCUUUUCUUUUCUCAUUUCUUUUCUUCUAUAAAAGAAAUUUUAUGUUUGAUUAAUUAGUUAAAAGGUGUUAAUUGUUCGUGGAUGGGGGUUUGAUAUCUGAAGAAGCUAGCUAGCUGGAUGUGUACAAAAGAGAUCACGAGUGUUGGUGGGUUUGGUUUUACUGGAUUGAUCAUGAAUAGUUUACUUUGAAUUCACCUAGUGGUAUUGUAUGCUGUAAUAUAUAUACCCCUACUUGAUCCUUUUUGGCCAAAAAUUCUCUCUAGGCUUGAGCCUAUAAAGCCUUUCACAUGUAUCCGCCCAUGAUCUGUACUGGUCAGUCUCCAACUCCCGCUUCGGUUUUGUGUUUCUACUUGUUUGCCCUCGAGUAUACUGCCCCGCCAUUAGGCUUUUGUUUUGCGCUGCAUUUUCUGUUGCAGAACUGAUUUUGGUACUUUGUAUGGUUUUUGUAGUAGAUCUGAGUUCACUGGCUUCUGUGGAGUGUUUAAGUGACGCUCCAUUUCUCUUGGAACUCCUUUUCCUCCCUUUAAACAUUAGAUCUACAGCUUCUCGUUGAACCUCUGUUACAAAUUAUGAUGAAAUUCAGUGCUCUAAGUAUUAGAUCUAUUAGUGCCAAGUUUUUUCAUUCGAGGUCAUGUGUUCUCUGAUUGUAUUUCAUUAACUUAGGCUCUAUCCGGACAUCUUAGUAUGACAUCUUUUGUUUUGCAUGAUUAUCUGAUUUCGUUACAAUGUCAUAAAUAAUGACAUUCCGUAAUAACUCUUGUGUGAUUUUAGAUUAUUAUUGCGAUUGAAUACAAAUCACUUACUCUUUGUGGGCUUUCAAAACUUGUUUAGAAAAUUUUCGUUGAUUCAUCAACCUUCAUCAACCUCAAUGCACAGAUACCGUUUCUGAUUUUACUUUGCAGAUAUGUCAUGAAAAUAUUGAGCAGUUUCUAUCACAGAUUAUAGUGUUGAUUAAGGAAACUAAUGUGGUUCUUGUUGAUCUGAUCCUACAGAGAAAUGGCGUCUCACAUUGUUGGAUACCCUCGUAUGGGCCCCAAGAGAGAGCUCAAGUUUGCCUUGGAAUCUUUCUGGGAUGGCAAGAGCAGUGCCGAAGAUUUGCAAAAGGUGUCUGCUGAUCUCAGGUGUUCCAUCUGGAAGCAGAUGGCUGAUGCCGGGAUCAAGCACAUUCCCAGCAACACCUUCUCUCACUACGAUCAGGUGCUUGACACCACCGCAUUGCUAGGGGCUGUUCCACCAAGAUAUGGUUGGAAUGGUGGUGAGAUUGGAUUUGACACUUACUUCUCCAUGGCCAGAGGAAAUGCCUCUGUUCCUGCUAUGGAAAUGACCAAGUGGUUCGACACCAACUAGUAUGUGACCUUAUCCUUUUCUACACUUUUGAAAUUUUAUUCUUCUAAUAUUAUGAAUGGGAAUGAUCAAUGCUGACUUUGUCUAAUGCGUUGAUACAGCCAUUUCAUUGUCCCUGAGUUGGGUCCUGACGUCAAAUUCUCAUAUGCUUCUCACAAGGCCGUUAAGGAAUACAAGGAGGCUAAAGCGGUGUGUUUAUGAUGUUUAUAUUUUAUUUCAUUGUUCUGCAUGUGGUCAAGUGAAUUAUGUUGGUUGAUGUAUGAUAGCCUGAUAGGCAGUCUUGGGUUUUGCUUCGAUGUAUAUGCUACGUUGCAUUUCAUUUAUACUUUUUUUCAGAACUGUUUGUAAUUUCCAUCUUUUGCAGCUUGGAGUGGAUACAGUCCCGGUACUUGUCGGCCCAGUGUCCUACUUGUUGCUGUCCAAACCAGCGAAGGGUGUUGAAAAGACAUUUUCGCUUCUCUCUCUUCUAGGAAAGAUCAUUCCUAUUUACAAGUAAUAUAUCCCAUUGUCCUUCUAUCUCAGAUUCCGGAUCGUAUGCGACUUAUCCUUUAUGUAUUGUUCUAAUUUUAUUUACUCUUUAGGGAGGUUAUAUCUGAGCUCAAGGCAGCUGGAGCUUCAUGGAUUCAGUUUGAUGAGCCCACACUUGUCAUGGAUCUUGAUUCUCACAAGUUGCACGCAUUUACUGAUGCUUACUCUCAGUUAGAGUCAACUCUAUCCGGCUUGAAUGUUCUUAUUGAGACUUACUUUGCUGAUGUACCUGCUGAGGCAUUCAAGACUCUUACUUCUUUGAAGGGUGUCACUGCCUAUGGUUUUGAUUUAGUUCGUGGUACUAAGACCCUUGACUUGAUUAAGAGUGACUUCCCUAAAGGCAAGUACCUCUUUGCUGGAUUGGUUGAUGGAAGGAACAUUUGGGCAAAUGAUCUUUCUGCUUCCCUCAGUACAUUGCAGGCUCUUGAAGGCAUUGUUGGCAAAGGUAUACGAUAUUUCUGCAGUUUUUGGUAAAUGAUGACAAGCAAUUGCAUUUCAUUAAUUCUUUAUCUGUUUUGUGCAGACCACCUUGUCGUCUCUACCUCCUGCUCUCUUCUUCACACUGCUGUUGAUCUUGUUAAUGAGACUAAGCUGGACAAUGAAAUCAAAUCGUGGCUUGCCUUUGCUGCCCAGAAAAUUGUUGAAGUUAAUGCUUUGGCAAAGGCAUUGGCCGGUCAAAAGGAUGAGGUAUAACCUUGUAUUCUUUUGUUACGCUAAUCCUAAUUUGUCUAUAAAGCAAAUUUCUUGUCUAGGUUUUCUAUUAAAAUUGGUGGUACUGAUAAAGAAAGAGAUUGGGGCCAUUACCGAGUGUGAUGUCCAUAAAGAUAGAAAAGUUGGAUGUAUUGCUGAAUCUUGGUUCAAUAGUUUACAGCAGUGCUUAUACCUCCUUGAAUGCAACUGGCUUAUGCUAUAUUUAUAAUAGUUUACAACAGUGCUUAUAUGAUUCACUUGCCGUUUUAAUUUGAUUGCUCAUCUUUUGUGCUGCCUGCAUCGUCAGGCAUUUUUCUCAAGCAAUGCUGCAGCUCAGGCUUCAAGGAAGUCGUCCCCAAGGGUGACCAAUGAGGCUGUGCAAAAGGCUGUGAGUGCUUAUUGCCUUUCUUGCCCCUUUUAUGAUAUGCUAAGUUUGUUCUGUAUUUGCAGUCAGAUUUUUUUCUUUGAUACUUGUUAUUAUUAUUAUUUAUUUAUUUUAUUUUUCUGGGUAUUUUCAGGCUGCGGCUUUGAAGGGUUCUGACCACCGUCGUGCUACUAAUGUAAGUGCCAGACUUGAUGCUCAACAGAAGAAGCUUAAUCUUCCAGUUCUCCCAACUACCACCAUUGGAUCAUUCCCUCAGACCAUUGAACUCAGAAGGGUCCGCCGUGAAUACAAGGCCAAAAAGUAAUAAAGUCGAAUGUUUUAUUAUCUUAACAAAAUAUCAAAUUGUAGAAACUGUUGCUGAUAAAUGCGCUUUAUUUUUUUGAACUUUAGGAUUUCUGAGGAGGAGUAUGUCAAGGCCAUUAAGGAGGAAAUUAGCAAAGUUGUUAAGCUUCAGGAGGAGCUUGACAUUGAUGUCCUUGUUCAUGGGGAGCCUGAGGUGAGUUUUCAUUUAUCAAACUGGAUACAGAGAAAUCUGUUCUACUAUUGGAUGUUGAACCGUUGGUUUUCCUUUUGUAUGUGAGACUGCGAUUCAUUAUUGUUUAUUCUCAUGGCAGAGAAACGACAUGGUUGAGUACUUUGGAGAGCAAUUAUCAGGGUUUGCCUUUACUGUCAAUGGGUGGGUGCAAUCUUAUGGAUCUCGAUGUGUGAAACCACCAAUCAUCUAUGGUGAUGUGAGCCGCCCAAAGCCAAUGACUGUAUUCUGGUCAUCUACUGCUCAGAGUAUGACUGCUCGCCCAAUGAAGGGAAUGCUUACAGGCCCUGUUACCAUCCUCAACUGGUCCUUUGUUAGAAAUGACCAGCCCAGGUCUGAGACUACCUACCAGAUUGCUUUGGCCAUCAAGGAUGAAGUGGAGGAUCUUGAGAAAGCCGGUAUCAAUGUUAUUCAAAUUGAUGAGGCUGCAUUAAGAGAAGGGUUGCCUCUCAGGAAGUCUGAGCAAGCUCACUACUUGGACUGGGCUGUCCACUCAUUCAGGAUCACUAACGUUGGUGUCCAGGACACUACUCAGGUCUUUUUCCCACUUGACAUGUAUUUUUGUAUUCUAGUAUUUUGUUUGCCUUGUUGUCUUAACUGCUUGUUUUUAAACAAAUCACGCAGAUUCACACUCACAUGUGCUACUCCAACUUCAACGAUAUCAUCCACUCAAUCAUCGACAUGGAUGCUGAUGUGAUCACCAUUGAGAAUUCUCGCUCUGAUGAGAAGCUCCUGUCAGUCUUCCGAGAGGGAGUGAAGUAUGGUGCUGGUAUUGGUCCUGGUGUUUAUGACAUCCACUCUCCAAGAAUACCAUCAACUGAGGAGAUUGCUGACCGGAUUAACAAGAUGCUUGCGGUCCUCGAGACAAAUAUCUUGUGGGUCAACCCUGACUGUGGGCUAAAGACUCGCAAGUACGCUGAGGUGAAACCAGCUCUUAGUGCUAUGGUUGCUGCUGCCAAGCAACUCCGCACUCAGCUUGCCAGUGCUAAAUGAAGCAUUUGAUGGAACCGGGGCUUCAAAAGAAUUCAAGGAUUCAAUGCAUCUUACUUGGAUUUUACGGGUCAUGUUUGAUUGUUUAAUAACUGUGUGAUGGAAUAUCUUAUUAGGCUUUUAAUGUCCUCUUAUGGGCACUUUUUGUUUUUGUUUUUUUUCCUUAUUAUAUUUUGUAUUUGAGAAAUUUAAAUACACAUUUCUAAUCUUUUAAUACAUAUCUCUAUUAUUUUAUAUUUCACAUCAGAUUUUAUAAUUCACAAACUGCAAUAAUAAAAGCUAGCUCGAUUAUAAUUCACAAAAGCUCAUCACCAGUACUACCCUGAAUAGCGAAACUUAGAUCAUAUAUUUGUCUUUAUAUUUCUCCCAGUUUCUUGAAAUAAAGGAUUGGAUUAGUUCUAAUCAAAAGAAAAACCAAUACCCCUCUUUGAUAAGUUUUCGUUGCAGUAUUCCAGUAAUUAAUGAGAGAAAUAAAAACGAUACAUAUAUUUAUUUUUGCUUGAUUACCAGUACAAACCUGAGCACCCAGACUUGGAUCAUUCGGAUAAGCUUUCAAUGUCAAAGAACAAUGGUUAUAAACCUGAUUAAGAACACAUGUAAAUCCAAUUCACCUUGCACAUCAAUAAAAACAAAGGAAGAAGAAAAAUUGCAAAGACAAUCAAUUUGCAGAUGAAGAUCAAUGAAAUUGAGAAGAACAUAAUAAUAGGUAGGAAUUAUUGCCUCUGAACUGCUAUUCACUUACCAUUAAUUGUUCUCAUGAAAAAGAAGAUCGAGAUUGAAGGUCUGGGCAACAACCUCACCCAAAACUUCAAGAUCGAUCAAGGCUGGCUGCAAAUUUGUAGCCGACGAGUCCACUGGCGAGAAGAAGCUCCAUAUCAAGGUUUGGUGUCCGUUCGGCAAGAAGAAACGGCGUGAUCAACGCCUAAAGGUGGAGAAAUAUCAUGGUACUCAAGAUCCUAACUUGAGAAUAAGACAACAAUUCCAUUUAAAUACUUUAUACCCAUUAUAGUGUUCCAACACCAUUAUUCAAUCUCGUUUCAACACCAACAUACCAAAUGAGCAAAUUAAAGACCAUAACAUUCCAGAAAUGCUCAGUUUUAUAGGCUGGAUAUAUUUCCUUGCAAGUAGCCCAAAUUAAGAAUUGUAGUAUGAGAAAAUGAGUACAUUCUACUGUUCUAGGCUCCGAAGAAAGAGAGAAUUGUUUGGGAAAUACUAUAAGCGAGCUCAAUCGCAACCUGGAAAAAAAUAUCGGACAACAUAAGACAAAUAAGAAAAUGAACAGCAACUACUUAGUGAAAUAUGAAAUUGAUAGAAGAAACAUGAAGGAAAAUAGCAACCUGAAAAAAAAAAUAUUACAAUAGGAAAGCAAAGAAGAAAACAUCCACCUUUGAAUCUGCUAAGUUCCAUGAGAGCGCUAAUCCUCUUUAGUUAGCUGAAACUCAGACAAAAACCCAAACUGGAAUCAGGGAUCCCCAUUCCAGAUCCAAAACAGUAGAUGGGGGAUAGCAACACCAAAUGAAGACUAAAUCUAGAAAAGGCGCGCAACCCAUUGAACCUCAAUCAACCUCAAUAAACAAAACAUAGAAACAUAUCUAGAAAUAAGAGGGUAGAUUUGAGACAGAAAGGGGAAAAAAAGUGGAGCAGCGAUGGCAAAUCUGUGAUUGAACUGGAAUCAGGGAGGAAGAGGUAAGUUCCAGGGGUCCCUUGUGAACAGAACGUCGGUCUGUUCGUACUUUACUAUAGAGUAAAGUAGUGAUCUAUGGCCACUCUUGUUCACCCAAUCACUACUUGAUUAAGAAAUUCUGCUCGAUGAAAAUAAGUAUUUUUAAGUAUACUUGUUUUGUUUUCAUAGUUGGAUGUAUAUCUAGGUUCAUUUGGUCCACUGAUGCUCUGCCAAUCUCCAGAUGGGGAAAGAGAGGAGAUUGCAGUACAGGCAUUUGAGAAGCGACCACAAUCAUAAGCAUAUACUGUAUUAUGUAUAUGCAUCAGAUAAUCAUCUAUGCGGCUAUGCCUAGAUCCAUCACCAGUCGCAACACUAGGAACAGCCAGAGCCACAGGGCUCAAACUGGUUCUAGUAAAUUAUACCAAAAACGAAAGGGUCUGAACUGUAGACACACCCAAACCAGAUAGCAAAGGUACAGCAUUUUACACAUUUCAGUAGUAUUUUGAUUAGAAUACACAAAAGCAAAUAGAAUUCAUCCACUUAUAAGCAUAGUAAACAUCCAAGAUCUCAUGGUUGGAGCCAGAAGCAAAAGGCCCUUAUUGGGAUUGAAAUUAAACUAAAAUUGGAUUCAAGAAACAACACGGCCAACAACAGGGUACUUAGCUACGAACUUGUUCUCCCAGUCGGUGAGGACGCCGAUCUCCUUGUCGGAGAGGCCCUGGAGGUCGGCGGUGAUGUCUUCUUCGUUCUUGGUCAUCUUGGCCAGAGCUCGGCUGGCGUCCUUGCCGGCAAACAUGGCGUAGGGACCUCCAGGACCGUAAAACGACUUGCCGUUGCUCACGUCGAAGACGCGGCCCUUGACUGCCACGUAUAUGGGCUUCGAUGGGUCCGUGCCGUUGUAUUGUAUCAGCUCCUCCGCUGUUAGCUCCAUCGCCACCGGAUUCUUUUUCUUUUUGCG